GCUUGCUGAAUCCGGUGCUGACGAGCGGCGAACGGGUGAGUAACGCGUAGGAAUCUACCCAGUAGCGGGGGAUAGCCCGGGGAAACCCGGAUUAAUACCGCAUACGCCCUAAGGGGGAAAGGGGGCAGCUUGCUGCUCUUACUAUUGGAUGAGCCUGCGUAAGAUUAGCUUGUUGGUAGGGUAAUGGCCUACCAAGGCAACGAUCUUUAGCUGGUCUGAGAGGACGAUCAGCCACAUUGGGACUGAGACACGGCCCAGACAUCUACGGAUGGCAGCAGUUAAGAAUAUUGGACAAUGGGGGCAACCCUGAUCCAGGUAUACCGCGUGUGUGAAGAAGGCCCUAGGGUUGUAAAGCACUUUAAUCAGAGAAGAAGCAUUUUAAGUUAAUACCUUAUUGUGUUGACGUUACCUGAAGAAUAAGGACCGGCUAACUCCGUGCCAGCAGCCGCGGUAAUACGGAGGGUCCAAGCGUUAAUCGGAAUUACUGGGCGUAAAGCGCGCGUAGGCGGUUUAGCAAGUUGAAUGUGAAAGCCCUAGGCUCAACCUAGGAACUGCAUUCAAAACUACUGAGCUAGAGUACGAGAGAGGAGAGUAGAAUUUCUGGUGUAGCGGUGAAAUGCGUAGAUAUCAGAAGGAAUACCAAUGGCGAAGGCAGCUCUCUGGCUCGUCACUGACGCUAAGGUGCGAAAGCGUGGGUAGCAAACAGGAUUAGAUACCCUGGUAGUCCACGCCGUAAACGAUGAGAACUAGCCGUUGGACAGAUUUAACUGUUCAGUGGCGCAGCUAACGCAUUAAGUUCUCCGCCU
This 806-nucleotide ribosomal RNA is filed under the name uncultured Gammaproteobacteria bacterium. RNAcentral's name for it is "bacterial SSU rRNA". It matches the Rfam family "Bacterial small subunit ribosomal RNA", at positions 71 to 874 of the family's 1533-position model. The record is from RNAcentral. Lineage: Bacteria; Pseudomonadati; Pseudomonadota; Gammaproteobacteria.